RNAcentral lists this ribosomal RNA (1395 nucleotides) under uncultured bacterium. RNAcentral's name for it is "bacterial SSU rRNA". It matches the Rfam family "Bacterial small subunit ribosomal RNA". The record is from RNAcentral.
AGAGUUUGAUCCUGGCUCAGGAUGAACGCUGGCGGCGUGCUUAACACAUGCAAGUCGAACGAAGCACUUUAUUUGAUUUCCUUCGGGACUGAUUAUUUUGUGACUGAGUGGCGGACGGGUGAGUAACGCGUGGGUAACCUGCCUUGUACAGGGGGAUAACAGUUGGAAACGGCUGCUAAUACCGCAUAAGCGCACAGCAUCGCAUGAUGCAGUGUGAAAAACUCCGGUGGUAUAAGAUGGACCCGCGUUGGAUUAGCUAGUUGGUGAGGUAACGGCCCACCAAGGCGACGAUCCAUAGCCGACCUGAGAGGGUGACCGGCCACAUUGGGACUGAGACACGGCCCAAACUCCUACGGGAGGCAGCAGUGGGGAAUAUUGCACAAUGGGCGAAAGCCUGAUGCAGCGACGCCGCGUGAGCGAAGAAGUAUUUCGGUAUGUAAAGCUCUAUCAGCAGGGAAGAUAAUGACGGUACCUGACUAAGAAGCACCGGCUAAAUACGUGCCAGCAGCCGCGGUAAUACGUAUGGUGCAAGCGUUAUCCGGAUUUACUGGGUGUAAAGGGAGCGCAGGCGGUGCGGCAAGUCUGAUGUGAAAGCCCGGGGCUCAACCCCGGUACUGCAUUGGAAACUGUCGUACUAGAGUGUCGGAGGGGUAAGCGGAAUUCCUAGUGUAGCGGUGAAAUGCGUAGAUAUUAGGAGGAACACCAGUGGCGAAGGCGGCUUACUGGACGAUAACUGACGCUGAGGCUCGAAAGCGUGGGGAGCAAACAGGAUUAGAUACCUUGGGUAGUCCACGCCGUAAACGAUGAAUACUAGGGUGUUGGGAAAGCAUUACUUCUCGGUGCCGUCGCAAACACAGUAAGUAUUCCACCUGGGGAGUACGUUCGCAAGAAUGAAACUCAAAGGAAUUGACGGGGACCCGCACAAGCGGUGGAGCAUGUGGUUUAAUUCGAAGCAACGCGAAGAACCUUACCAAGUCUUGACAUCCUUCUGACCGGUACUUAAUCGUACCUUCUCUUCGGAGCAGGAGUGACAGGUGGUGCAUGGUUGUCGUCAGCUCGUGUCGUGAGAUGUUGGGUUAAGUCCCGCAACGAGCGCAACCCUUAUCUUUAGUAGCCAGCGGUCAGGCCGGGCACUCUAGAGAGACUGCCAGGGAUAACUUGGAGGAAGGCGGGGAUGACGUCAAAUCAUCAUGCCCCUUAUGACUUGGGCUACACACGUGCUACAAUGGCGUAAACAAAGGGAAGCAAAGCUGUGAAGCCGAGCAAAUCUCAAAAAUAACGUCUCAGUUCGGACUGUAGUCUGCAACCCGACUACACGAAGCUGGAAUCGCUAGUAAUCGCAGAUCAGAAUGCUGCGGUGAAUACGUUCCCGGGUCUUGCACACACCGCCCGUCA